Bufo gargarizans (Asiatic toad) is the source of this 375-nucleotide long non-coding RNA. RefSeq lists it as uncharacterized. The record is from RefSeq and is a predicted model, not a curated record. The transcript is spliced from 4 exons. NCBI's taxonomy places the organism in Eukaryota, Metazoa, Chordata, Amphibia, Anura, Bufonidae.
GAGGCGGCCGGGCCUGCACGGUGCGCUCUCCUUCACUGUGUGAGCUCUGGGGUAGAGACAGCUGCGGGUCCUGGAGCACAGCCUGACUCCUGUACAUGGUGGUAGAAAUGAAAACCCCUGAUGCUCCUGGUGAAGGGUUGUCAGAGGAGGACAUGGCCCGUCCAGGUUCCUACAAUAUAGUAUUCUCUCAGUGGAUAUCUUCUAUAUGACAUCAAUCUCCUGAUUGACCCAUCAAGGAUGGACAGGGACAGGGACAAGAUGGCGGAGAGUAUAAUAAAUCUCACCCUAGAGAUCCUCUUCCGGCUUACUGGAGAGGACUACACAGUAGUGAAGAAGACCUCUAGUGAGCGCUGUCAGGCCCCUGUGUCUGAAGGA